UGGGGAAUUUUGGACAAUGGGCGCAAGCCUGAUCCAGCCAUGCCGCGUGCGGGAAGAAGGCCUUCGGGUUGUAAACCGCUUUGUCAGGGAAGAAAUCUUCUGAGUUAAUACCUCGGGAGGAUGACGGUACCUGAAGAAUAAGCACCGGCUAACUACGUGCCAGCAGCCGCGGUAAUACGUAGGGUGCAAGCGUUAAUCGGAAUUACUGGGCGUAAAGCGUGCGCAGGCGGUUUCGUAAGACAGAGGUGAAAUCCCCGGGCUCAACCUGGGAACUGCCUUUGUGACUGCAAGGCUUGAGUGCGGCAGAGGGGGGAUGGAAUUCCGCGUGUAGCAGUGAAAAUGCGUAGAUAUGCGGAGGAAACACCCGAUGGCGAAAGGCAAUCCCCCCUGGGGCCUGCANUGACGCUCAUGCAC
This 414-nucleotide ribosomal RNA is filed under the name uncultured bacterium. RNAcentral's name for it is "partial 16S ribosomal RNA". It matches the Rfam family "Bacterial small subunit ribosomal RNA", at positions 355 to 754 of the family's 1533-position model. The record is from RNAcentral.